This 63-nucleotide transfer RNA is filed under the name Biomphalaria glabrata. RNAcentral describes it as "tRNA-Glu". The record is from RNAcentral. Lineage: Eukaryota; Metazoa; Mollusca; Gastropoda; Planorbidae.
UUUUUUGAAGUGUUCCACAUUAUCUUUUCAAGAUAAAAAUGUUUUUUACUAAAGCGAUAUAUU